Molecule: RNA transcript, 1071 nt
Organism: Vicia villosa (hairy vetch)
Lineage: Eukaryota; Viridiplantae; Streptophyta; Magnoliopsida; Fabales; Fabaceae
Gene name: glutathione S-transferase L1-like
Exons: 8
Source: RefSeq, a predicted model, not a curated record
CCUGGAACAACACCAGAGACCAUCCAGGAAUGAUCCAAUAUUAAUAAUAAGAAUUUUUUUUGUUGUAUAACUCCAAAUUCAUAGUUAUUGUUUGCUUUGUAUUCGUAGUGAUAUAUAUCUUCAUCGCGAUAAAAACUUUAUGCCUCAAAACUCGGCAGCAUGGAGUGCUUGCGAUUUUCUUGGAAGUAACAACAACAAAGUUUGUGUGACAUAUUGGCUAAACAUCAAGGUUCAAAAUGUAUAUUGAUACUCACUUUGAAGGACCUUCCCUUUUUCCCAAUGAUUCUCCUGAUAAGGAGUUUACUGAAGAAAUUCUAUCUUACACAGAUACCUUUUACAAGACAGUUGUUUCUUCUUUUAAAGGAGAUGUGAAUGAGGCUGAUACUGCUUUUGAUUACAUUGAGAAUGUUCUCUCCAAGUAUGAUAAUGGACCUUUCUUCCUUGGCCAAUUUAGUUUGGUGGAUAUAGCAUAUGCUCCUUUUAUGGAAAGAUUUCAACCUUUUCUAGUGGAAGUGAAAAAUUAUGACAUUACAUUGGGCAGACCUAAAUUGGCGGCAUGGAUUGAGCUUCAAAACAGUUGAUAGAUCACUUGAGGAAUGAGUAUGAUAAGGUUCUUGAACACAACAAUGACAUGAUUUUUGGUGAAUUGAGGCAGAGGAGUGUGAAUAGUAGUUCUGAGGAUUUAGUUGCUUCUCUGGUGGGCGAUGAAGGUGAAAUUGGGAAGGGCGAUGAUAGUGUGAAGGCGAAUCCGGUCAAGCUCGAGACGCCGAGAAAAGAAACUGAAAGGAGUGUCUACAAAAUCGAAAAAGGUGGAAUCGGUUGACUGGAAGUGGAUAAUGGAAGAAGAUCCAAAUUUGAAAUACAAAACACAUUGUUCUCAACUAUACAGAAAAUGAUGUGUUAGAUGAUGGCUGUUAAGUUUUGAUAACUUUUGAGUUGACUAAUUUGUAAUUGUUGCAGUACAACUCUGAGCCUGAAGCUGUUGACCUUUUAAUGGAGGUUGAGGACCUUGACAUGUUGAAUGAAUAUAUAGACAAAACAAAUUUUAAGAGGACUUGCCUGUAUCUCACC